RNAcentral lists this ribosomal RNA (253 nucleotides) under uncultured bacterium. Its description in RNAcentral is "partial 16S ribosomal RNA". It matches the Rfam family "Bacterial small subunit ribosomal RNA", at positions 524 to 776 of the family's 1533-position model. The record is from RNAcentral.
UACGUAGGGUGCGAGCGUUGUCCGGAAUUACUGGGCGUAAAGAGUUCGUAGGCGGUUUGUCGCGUCGUUUGUGAAAACCCGGAGCUCAACUCCGGGCCUGCAGUCGAUACGGGCAAACUGGAGUGUUGCAGGGGAGACUGGAAUUCCUGGUGUAGCGGUGAAAUGCGCAGAUAUCAGGAGGAACACCGGUGGCGAAGGCGGGUCUCUGGGCAACAACUGACGCUGAGGAGCGAAAGCGUGGGGAGCGAACAGG